AACGCGAAGAACCUUACCUACUCUUGACAUCCAGAGAACUUUCCAGAGAUGGAUUGGUGCCUUCGGGAACUCUGAGACAGGUGCUGCAUGGCUGUCGUCAGCUCGUGUUGUGAAACGUUGGGUUAAGUCCCGCAACGAGCGCAACCCUUAUCCUUGUUUGCCAGCGAGUAAUGUCGGGGACUCCAGGGAGACUGCCGGUGAUAAACCGGAGGAAGGUGGGGACGACGUCAAGUCAUCAUGGCCCUUACGAGUAGGGCUACACACGUGCUACAAUGGCGCAUACAGAGGGCAGCCAACUUGCGAAAGUGAGCGAAUCCCAAAAAGUGCGUCGUAGUCCGGAUUGGAGUCUGCAACUCGACUCCAUGAAGUCGGAAUCGCUAGUAACCGUGGAUCAGAAUGCCACGGUGAAUACGUUCCCGGGCCUUGUACACACCG
Molecule: ribosomal RNA, 435 nt
Filed under: uncultured bacterium
Lineage: Bacteria
Description: bacterial SSU rRNA
Rfam family: Bacterial small subunit ribosomal RNA
Source: RNAcentral